This 253-nucleotide ribosomal RNA is filed under the name uncultured bacterium. RNAcentral's name for it is "partial 16S ribosomal RNA". It matches the Rfam family "Bacterial small subunit ribosomal RNA", at positions 526 to 779 of the family's 1533-position model. The record is from RNAcentral.
CGUAGGGUGCAAGCGUUGUCCGGAAUUAUUGGGCGUAAAGAGCUCGUAGGCGGUCUGUCGCGUCGGCUGUGAAAUCCCGAGGCUCAACCUCGGGUCUGCAGUCGAUACGGGCAAACUAGAGUGUUGCAGGGGAGACUGGAAUUCCUGGUGUAGCGGUGAAAUGCGCAGAUAUCAGGAGGAACACCGGUGGCGAAGGCGGGUCUCUGGGCAACAACUGACGCUGAGGAGCGAAAGCGUGGGAGCGAACAGGAUU